UACGUAGGGUGCAAGCGUUAUCCGGAAUUAUUGGGCGUAAAGAGCUCGUAGGCGGUUUGUCGCGUCUGCUGUGAAAACUGGAGGCUCAACCUCCAGCCUGCAGUGGGUACGGGCAAACUAGAGUGCGGUAGGGGAGAUUGGAAUUCCUGGUGUAGCGGUGGAAUGCGCAGAUAUCAGGAGGAACACCGAUGGCGAAGGCAGAUCUCUGGGCCGUUACUGACGCUGAGGAGCGAAAGCGUGGGGAGCGAACAGG
This 253-nucleotide ribosomal RNA is filed under the name uncultured bacterium. RNAcentral's name for it is "partial 16S ribosomal RNA". It matches the Rfam family "Bacterial small subunit ribosomal RNA", at positions 524 to 776 of the family's 1533-position model. The record is from RNAcentral.